CCUACGGGAGGCAGCAGUGGGGAAUAUUGGGCAAUGGGCACAAGCCUGACCCAGCAACGCCGCGUGAAGGAAGAAGGCUUUCGGGUUGUAAACUUCUUUUAAGGGGGAAGAGUAGAAGACGGUACCCCUUGAAUAAGCCACGGCUAACUAGGUGCCAGCAGCCGCGGUAAUACGUAGGUGGCAAGCGUUGUCCGGAUUUACUGGGUGUAAAGGGUGUGCAGCCGGAGAGACAAGUCAGAUGUGAAAUCCACGGGCUCAACCCGUGAACUGCAUUUGAAACUGUUUCCCUUGAGUGUCGGAGAGGUAAUCGGAAUGCCUUGUGUAGCGGUGAAAUGCGUAGAUAUAAGAAAGAACACCAGUGGCGAAGGCGGAUUACUGGACGAUAACUGACGGUGAGGCGCGAAAGCGUGGGGAGCAAACAGGAUUAGAUACCCUAGUAGUC
Molecule: ribosomal RNA, 442 nt
Filed under: uncultured bacterium
Lineage: Bacteria
Description: partial 16S ribosomal RNA
Rfam family: Bacterial small subunit ribosomal RNA
Source: RNAcentral